UGGUACAAGCUGCUGUUGACUGUG
Molecule: non-coding RNA, 24 nt
Filed under: Rattus norvegicus (Norway rat)
Lineage: Eukaryota; Metazoa; Chordata; Mammalia; Rodentia; Muridae
Source: RNAcentral